RNAcentral lists this ribosomal RNA (429 nucleotides) under Chloroflexota bacterium. RNAcentral describes it as "Chloroflexi bacterium partial 16S ribosomal RNA". It matches the Rfam family "Bacterial small subunit ribosomal RNA", at positions 355 to 776 of the family's 1533-position model. Lineage: Bacteria; Bacillati; Chloroflexota. The record is from RNAcentral.
UGGGGAAUAUUGCACAAUGGGCGCAAGCCUGAUGCAGCCAUGCCGCGUGUAUGAAGAAGGCCUUCGGGUUGUAAAGUACUUUCAGUCGGGAGGAAGGUGGUAAGGUUAAUAACCUUGGCAAUUGACGUUACCGACAGAAGAAGCACCGGCUAACUCCGUGCCAGCAGCCGCGGUAAUACGGAGGGUGCAAGCGUUAAUCGGAAUUACUGGGCGUAAAGCGCACGCAGGCGGUUGACUGAGUCAGAUGUGAAAUCCCCGGGCUUAACCCGGGAAUUGCAUCUGAUACUGGUCAGCUAGAGUCUUGUAGAGGGGGGUAGAAUUCCAUGUGUAGCGGUGAAAUGCGUAGAGAUGUGGAGGAAUACCGGUGGCGAAGGCGGCCCCCUGGACAAAGACUGACGCUCAGGUGCGAAAGCGUGGGGAGCAAACAGG